RNAcentral lists this transfer RNA (96 nucleotides) under Colletotrichum higginsianum. RNAcentral's name for it is "tRNA CH063_16457". It matches the Rfam family "tRNA". From Rfam's summary of the family: Transfer RNA (tRNA) molecules are approximately 80 nucleotides in length. Their secondary structure includes four short double-helical elements and three loops (D, anti-codon, and T loops). RNAcentral also lists the same sequence under 1 other name. The record is from Rfam by way of RNAcentral. Lineage: Eukaryota; Fungi; Ascomycota; Sordariomycetes; Glomerellales; Glomerellaceae.
GGUCUAUUAGUCUAGUUGGUUAGGACGUCGGAUUCUGAUCCCUCUCUCUCGAGCUCGGAAUUUCCGUAAGCCCAGGUUCGAAUCCUGGAUGGACCU